This 74-nucleotide transfer RNA is filed under the name Candidatus Kaiserbacteria bacterium. Its description in RNAcentral is "tRNA-Gly". It matches the Rfam family "tRNA". From Rfam's summary of the family: Transfer RNA (tRNA) molecules are approximately 80 nucleotides in length. Their secondary structure includes four short double-helical elements and three loops (D, anti-codon, and T loops). Further hydrogen bonds mediate the characteristic L-shaped molecular structure. tRNAs have two regions of fundamental functional importance: the anti-codon, which is responsible for specific mRNA codon recognition, and the 3' end, to which the tRNAs corresponding amino acid is attached (by aminoacyl-tRNA synthetases). tRNAs cope with the degeneracy of the genetic code in two manners: having more than one tRNA (with a specific anti-codon) for a particular amino acid; and 'wobble' base-pairing, i.e. permitting non-standard base-pairing at the 3rd anti-codon position. The record is from RNAcentral. Lineage: Bacteria; Candidatus Kaiseribacteriota.
GCGGGUAUAGUUUAGUGGUAGAAUAUCUGCCUUCCAAGCAGAAUACGGGAGUUCGAUUCUCCCUACCCGCACAA